UACGUAGGGUGCGAGCGUUAUCCGGAAUUAUUGGGCGUAAAGCGCGUGUAGGCGGCCCGGUAAGUCCGCUGUGAAAGUCGGGGGCUCAACCCUCGAAUGCCGGUGGAUACUGUCGGGCUAGAGUGCGGGAGAGGCGAGUGGAAUUCCUGGUGUAGCGGUGAAAUGCGCAGAUAUCAGGAGGAACACCAAUUGCGAAGGCAGCUCGCUGGAACGUAACUGACGCUGAGACGCGAAAGCGUGGGGAGCAAACAGG
Molecule: ribosomal RNA, 253 nt
Filed under: uncultured bacterium
Lineage: Bacteria
Description: partial 16S ribosomal RNA
Rfam family: Bacterial small subunit ribosomal RNA
Source: RNAcentral